This 85-nucleotide transfer RNA is filed under the name Felis catus (domestic cat). It matches the Rfam family "tRNA". Rfam says of the family: Transfer RNA (tRNA) molecules are approximately 80 nucleotides in length. Their secondary structure includes four short double-helical elements and three loops (D, anti-codon, and T loops). The record is from Rfam by way of RNAcentral. Lineage: Eukaryota; Metazoa; Chordata; Mammalia; Carnivora; Felidae. RNAcentral also lists the same sequence under 1 other name.
GCCUGGGUGGCUCAGUCGGUUGAGCGUCCGACUUCAGCUCAGGUCAUGAUCUCAUGGUUCGUGGGUUCGAGCCCCGCAUCGGGUU